RNAcentral lists this ribosomal RNA (378 nucleotides) under uncultured bacterium. Its description in RNAcentral is "partial 16S ribosomal RNA". It matches the Rfam family "Bacterial small subunit ribosomal RNA", at positions 78 to 526 of the family's 1533-position model. The record is from RNAcentral.
GCUCCUAUCUCGUAUGAGCGGCGGACGGGUGAGUAAUGUAUGGGGACUGCCCGAUAAGGGGGGAUAACUACUGGAAACGGUGGCUAAUACCGCAUACUAUAGGAUAACCCAUAUGGGAUUAGCUAGUAGGUGGGGUAAAGGCUGACCUAGGCGACGAUCUCUAGCUGGUCUGAGAGGAUGAUCAGACACACUGGGACUGAUACACGGCCCAGAUGCCUACGGAGGAAGAAUGUUGUAAUAGUUCACAAUGUGUGAAAGCCUGAGGCAGCCAUUCCGCGUGUAUGAAGAAGGCCUUAGGGUUGUAAAGUACUUGAAGCGUGGAGGCGUUACCCGCAGAAGAAGAACCGGCUAACGCCGUGCCAGACGCCGCGGUAAUAC